CUACGGAGGGAGCAAGCGUUAAUCGGAAUUACUGGGCGUAAAGCGCACGUAGGCGGAUUAAAAGGUUAGAGGUGAAAUCCCAGGGCUUAACCCUGGAACUGCCUUUAAAACUAGUAGUCUAGAGUUUGAGAGAGGUGAGUGGAAUUCCAAGUGUAGAGGUGAAAUUCGUAGAUAUUUGGAGGAACACCAGUGGCGAAGGCGGCUCACUGGCUCGAUACUGACGCUGAGGCGCGAAAGCGUGGGGAGCAAACAGGAUUAGAAACCCGAGUAGUCC
RNAcentral lists this ribosomal RNA (274 nucleotides) under uncultured bacterium. RNAcentral's name for it is "partial 16S ribosomal RNA". It matches the Rfam family "Bacterial small subunit ribosomal RNA", at positions 523 to 796 of the family's 1533-position model. The record is from RNAcentral.